CACUCUAGCGAGACUGCCGGUAAUAAACCGGAGGAAGGUGGGGAUGACGUCAAAUCAUCAUGCCCCUUAUGACCUGGGCUACACACGUGCUACAAUGGUUGGUACAACGAGUUGCGAGUCGGUGACGGCGAGCUAAUCUCUUAAAGCCAAUCUCAGUUCGGAUUGUAGGCUGCAACUCGCCUACAUGAAGUCGGAAUCGCUAGUAAUCGCGGAUCAGCACGCCGCGGUGAAUACGUUCCCGGGCCUU
This 247-nucleotide ribosomal RNA is filed under the name uncultured Streptococcus sp. RNAcentral describes it as "partial 16S ribosomal RNA". It matches the Rfam family "Bacterial small subunit ribosomal RNA", at positions 1136 to 1382 of the family's 1533-position model. The record is from RNAcentral. Lineage: Bacteria; Bacillati; Bacillota; Bacilli; Lactobacillales; Streptococcaceae.